CUUCCAUUGACACAAGGCGUGGUAAGUUGUUUUCCGAUUCGUUGUCGCGCACGAAGUGCAUUGGCUGCGAAAAGAGUAAAACAAAUCUAUCCAUGCAAGCAUUUUACCGUCGGUUCUCCGGCGGUUUUUUUUAUUUCUUACGUAUAAAAAAGGCCCCUUGUGCAAAAUCUGCGACAAGGGGCCUGGUCGGUGAGGAGUUAUCUCCGUUCAUUAAUCA
Molecule: small RNA, 217 nt
Filed under: Citrobacter rodentium ICC168
Lineage: Bacteria; Pseudomonadati; Pseudomonadota; Gammaproteobacteria; Enterobacterales; Enterobacteriaceae
Description: STnc560 Hfq binding RNA
Rfam family: STnc560 Hfq binding RNA
Source: Rfam by way of RNAcentral